GUAGACCUACUCCCUCCGCCGUCCCCUUCCCCAAUACUGUCUCGGCGGCGGCGGCCUUGGCCCAUAGCCUCCGCGUGGAUCCAAGAUCAACAGCGCCGUCCUCGUCGCUCGCCAAGGCGGCCAAGUUCAGCACGCGGUUCUCGGAGUGGUGCCUGGAUGUAGUCGCGGCGCCGUCCGUGUCGAUUUGGCGGUGGUGCAGGCGGUGGUAGGAGGCCAACGAAAUGGUUCUUUGAGGUCAAACGGAAGGAGUUGAUGGGAGGCGUCGCCGGCGCGUGUUUCGGUGAUUGUGGGCGCGUCCCCUGCUCCUCCGAUUGCGAGCUGCAGGUAAUCCUGCACACAGAUCCAAUGCUGAACAUGACAUCUGACUACAAUGAGCCCCUGCCUUGAUAUUCACAUCUUGUAGAAAGGAUCACAUGACUUUUAGAUUGGAAGACCAAGUUGAGGUGUGAAUUCCCAACCUCUAUUGUUCUACCCAUUGGAGCACAUGACUAUUA
Lolium rigidum is the source of this 494-nucleotide long non-coding RNA. RefSeq lists it as uncharacterized. The record is from RefSeq and is a predicted model, not a curated record. NCBI's taxonomy places the organism in Eukaryota, Viridiplantae, Streptophyta, Magnoliopsida, Poales, Poaceae. The transcript has 3 exons.